RNAcentral lists this ribosomal RNA (464 nucleotides) under uncultured bacterium. Its description in RNAcentral is "partial 16S ribosomal RNA". It matches the Rfam family "Bacterial small subunit ribosomal RNA", at positions 339 to 795 of the family's 1533-position model. The record is from RNAcentral.
CUACGGGUGGCUCCAGUGGGGAAUAUUGCACAAUGGGCGAAAGCCUGAUGCAGCAAUGCCGCGUGUGUGAAGAAGGCCUGCGGGUUGUAAAGCACUUUCAAUUGGGAGGAAAAGUUCAGAGUUAAUACCUCUGGACCUUGACGUUACCUUUAGAAGAAGCACCGGCUAACUCCGUGCCAGCAGCCGCGGUAAUACGGAGGGUGCAAGCGUUAUUCGGAAUUACUGGGCGUAAAGCGCACGUAGGCCGCUUUGUAAGUCAGGGGUGAAAUCCCACGGCUCAACCGUGGAACUGCCUUUGAAACUGCAGAGCUUGAAUCCUGGAGAGGGUGGCGGAAUUCCUGGUGUAGGAGUGAAAUCCGUAGAUAUCAGGAGGAACACCGGUGGCGAAGGCGGCCACCUGGACAGGUAUUGACGCUGAGGUGCGAAAGUGUGGGGAGCAAACAGGAUUAGAUACCCUAGUAGUC